This 74-nucleotide transfer RNA is filed under the name Xenopus laevis (African clawed frog). It matches the Rfam family "tRNA". From Rfam's summary of the family: Transfer RNA (tRNA) molecules are approximately 80 nucleotides in length. Their secondary structure includes four short double-helical elements and three loops (D, anti-codon, and T loops). Lineage: Eukaryota; Metazoa; Chordata; Amphibia; Anura; Pipidae. The record is from Rfam by way of RNAcentral.
GCUGCUGUGACUUAGUUGAUGAAAGCACCUGUCUAGUAAACAGGAGAUCCUGAGUUGAAAUCUUAGCAGUGCCU